Molecule: long non-coding RNA, 614 nt
Organism: Vicia villosa (hairy vetch)
Lineage: Eukaryota; Viridiplantae; Streptophyta; Magnoliopsida; Fabales; Fabaceae
Exons: 3
Source: RefSeq, a predicted model, not a curated record
GGCAGCGCCUCUUUCUCCUUCCUUCUCACGUUAUUUUUUUCUGGAAAAACAAACUUUCUUCUUCUCUCAUACCGAUUUAACAACAACACAAAUCUCUCUCGGUUUCUCUCUUCCACGAUAAUCACCAUGAAUUUCCGUUCUCAACCUUAUCUCUCUCGCGAAGGACACAACAACAAUGGUCUCCCUCGGUGCUCACUUUACGGCAACAAACAGCGGCCCUUUCUCCAUCUCUUGCUCUCAAUCGAUAAAAACGACUCCUCACCGGAAGUUUUACGGCGGCCAUGGAUGAACAAGAGGUUCCUUAAAGAUAAUACAGGAACAAUAUAUUUGUAGCAACUGAUAAAAGCAAUAUUGAGAGCAAGGGGUGAAGUCAACUUACCUGCGGCAAGAGAUGUUUUCCGGAAUUUUGUUAAGCUUCACAAUAACUUGUUGCUGGAAGCGUCGGGUGCUGUGUUGAAGAUGAUGUGGGGCUGCCACUGAAGUCCGAAGGUAUGGCUUCGACCUCCCUUUCUUUUUUUCUGGAAAUUUCGAGUGGUGUUGUUGAACUCACACCCUUGAAUUGUUGUUGAACCGGUUAUGAACUUUUGAACUUGUUGCAAAUUGUUUGAAACAAC